Solenopsis invicta (red fire ant) is the source of this 2031-nucleotide long non-coding RNA. RefSeq lists it as uncharacterized. The record is from RefSeq and is a predicted model, not a curated record. NCBI's taxonomy places the organism in Eukaryota, Metazoa, Arthropoda, Insecta, Hymenoptera, Formicidae. The transcript is spliced from 3 exons.
UCCCUUCGUCGCAACGGCACACGGCGGAGAGUCAACAAACAACGAUCAUUUCACUACGUAUCAUCGUACAUAACACUCGCGAACUGUAUCUGCGAUAGACACGCGGCGAGAUCAGAACUGGCCUGAUCCGUAUCCUCCGAAAUGCGCAGCGUAGUUGCGACGCCACCGCCUUCGCCGCUGCCGGCCCGUCGACUGCUUGUCACUGCUGGCUCGUCGUCGUCGUCGUCGCUCGUCACCCGUCGGCCGCCGAAAUACGCAUAUCGCGACGACUCCUCAUUGCACGUUUGUUGCACGUAUGUCCGAAUCGCUUUCGUCUCUUUUCGUCGCGGUAGUUACGUCCGCAAGAAACUCGAUUCUCAAUUCCGACACACGUGCGACAAUUGUGCGACGAGGGAGUCGUCGUCGCGAUAUGCAUAUUUCGGCGGCCGACGGGUGACGAGCGUCGACGGGCCAGCAGCCGACGGGACAGCAGUCGACGGCAGUCGACGGGCCGGCAGCGACGGUGGAGGUUGCGUCAUAACUACGCUACGCAAUUCGGUGGAUGCGGAUCGCUCCAGCUCCGAUCUCGCCGCGUGUCUAUCGCAGCUACAGUUCGCGAGUGUAAUGUACGAUGAUACGGAAGGAAAUGGUCGUGUGUUGACUCUCCGCCGUGUAUCGGGCGACGAAGGCGAAGGUUAGGUUACCGCGGGGAAGCGCCGUGUUUACUUCGCUACGUCGCCGCGUCGCCGCGUCGUUCGUUCGCUACGUACGUUCGGUCGUUUCGUGCCCGAUUCUCCUUACAUGUACAAUGUUUUCGUGUGCACCGUACUACAAUGCCGUAUAUUCGUACGAAAUAGCCGUCGCCCUGAGAUGGCUACUCGUGCGUUAGAUCUUUUUCACGCUAUCGACCAUAACCUCGCGCGAUCGUUACCUUUCGCUACGUGAUUAUAUCGCUUCGUCGGUAGUUCCGUUAAUAAAGUGUCGUGCGUUGCUGUGAUAAUUAGCACGCGAUCGUAAUUGAUCUUUCGUUGGCGAGAAUCGCGAGUUUUGUGUUGUGCUCUAUUGACGAGAUCUGGGAGGAGGCGGAGGCUCGGGAGGAGCAUCGAGCAACAGCGGAACAAUCCUGUGGGUUCUCCUUUGCAAGUGGACGGCGAUUGUUCGAUCGAUCUUGUUAUCGAAAAGAUAGCACAUUGCGAAAUGCACUCUGCGGAAGGAAGCAGAUAAGAAGAAUACCAUGGUUGCCGAUAAUAAUCGCGCGAAUGGCUUCGCACGCGGGGUAGGCGCAAUGGAGGCUGGUCGGGCAGAACGAGGGUGGUUCCAUUCGCCAUGACUAAGUGAUCGCGUCAAAACUGCUGCGUGCAACCCGGCGGCGACAAUGGUGCGAGUAAUGAAGGUAACCGCAGAAUUACACCCCGGACGAUAAUCGAGUUUCGUCUGUUGUUACGUGCCGCACAUCUCCGCACCGUCCGUCGUAUCGCUUCUCUCGUCGCCUGGUCACCAAAUUACGCUAGAAAUUCGCAAAACCGCUUCUUAAAUGCUUACGUAAACGCGAUACCUUUACUUCGCUUUGAUUGUGGUCACUGGUACCGAUUGUGGAAGGUAAUCAUUGUUAUUCAAUUACUUAACGAAAUUAUAAUAGAAAAAUAACAAAUAUUUUAUGCUUGAAAUAUUAUUUUGUAGAAGAGAAUUGCUAAAUGCGAACUGUUUAAAUUAUUGUUUAUUACAUUUCUCAUUAGAUAUUGAUUUAUAUGCAAAUGAACGUGGAAAAUUAUAGCUCGUCAUUUCAAGCAUGUAUUAUUACUUUAUUUUAUAACUUUUCAUUAAUAAUGAAUUAAUUUAUAAAAAGCUAUUUUUUUGCAAUAUUUUACAAAAGGUGCGAUUGGCAACCUGUAGCCUAAUUCGUACCUGUGGAUCUCUUAAAUCGUAUCGUAUCACCUUUGAAACUAUGGUGUUCGUGAAUUAAAAUAAUUAAAAAUAAAAGGAAUUAUUAAUAUUUAUUUUAUAUUAAUAAUUUUUUUGAAAAAAGUAUUAAUUAUUUAAUAAUUAAUAAGC